CGUGUCUUUGGUCAGUUUGAACUAAGAGGGGGUAAUUACUAUUGUACAUAGUUAAAUGGUUACAAAUUCGUGAGAGAAAUAACCUUUUAUGAAAUAACGUCGCUAGCUUAUCGUAAAUAUACGAAAAAUCAAAAGGCCAAACUUUUCGCAGGAUUUUGAAUCCUCUAAUAUUUCCACAUUGCCGCUUGUUCAUCAAUCCUCUCAAACAACCAUCCCCAUCUCACUCCACAAUUCACCAUAACCCUAGCUGGAUAGCUUUCUCGCUCUACGAUCAUCACUAGUUCGUGAUAGGAAUUUUACGCUAAUCUCGGUUUAGCAGUUCGUUUGACCUACCUCCCAUAUUCUCCACUAAUCUGAAUUACGAAAUUUACAGAUUGUUUUUUUUUUUCUAGGUCUGAUUUGAGCCAAUUUACACUUUUAAAGGUGGAGAUUCAGGGUUUUAUUGCCAAUAAGGACUCAUAGAUGAUCUGAUCGACCUUCGUUUAGUAAGCGCUGUUCUAGUCUUCGGUUCUAGUAAAGGUUGAGGCGUCUACCAAUCAGGUAGUAGACGGAUAAAUGCUGGUGUAUAACCUUCCGCCAAAGGAGAACCAGAUACAGAUGAGAUGUCUUCUCAGAUAGGUUGAUCUGAUGCCUAAACUCAACAUGAGUAUCAUGAGCUUGACUAGUCCAAAUGCUCUGUUUGUCUAUUAUUCUGGCAGUUGAUCGUUUUACCAAUCUUUUGUGAUGACAGCAAGACGAAAACGCAGUUAACAAAGAACCAUCAUUGCAGCAGCAAACAAAGUUUCGUGUACAUUAUGUUUGCACUAGCCAUACAAGCACACAGUAAGUCCAGAACAACCUGGUCAACCAAAGUCAUCUCUGCAAAUUUAAUGGUCCUGGUUGCCGGUUGCACUUCACUUACUUCGAGAGGUCCUUAUGAUACUGCAACUGAUUAUGAGCCUCAGAGCAGUCGUGAUGACAUGGACAAUCGAGUGAUGAUAGACAAGAUGAUCUUGCUGCACGCAUGGUGUAGUCUAUCUGGUUUUUACAUGAUAGCAUAAUUUGGAUGGAAUAAAUAGUGUUCCAGGUGUAUUAUAUAUCUUUGAGGAUUAAAGCAUUUCAGACAAUCAGACAUAACUCAAGUUAACAAUGAUGAAGACAUAACUUUGUUUAAAGACCUUAAUUAGUAAAGCAAUUAAUAUUUAUGCAGCACUUGUGUGAAAAUGUAGUCUAUUUAGCCUUGCAACCUAUUUUAGUCUCCACCUUUAGACUUGAGUGAAAAUGUAACCUAUUUAGCAUUGCUACUUAAUGUCACCUUUUUUUAUGAUACUAAGAAGAAAAAAAAUCCAAACCAUAUGCAGGGAGAUGGAUUAACGCGACAAAGAGAAAGAUGCGUUUCUGAAGUGCAGGAGGAAAAUGAUAAAGAAUUCAGCGUUAAGGAAUUGUAUGAAUCCAAUAACAUCCAGGAGAUAAUUUCACGCCUACAAAUUGAUAAAACUACUAUAGAUCAGCUGGAACUACUAAAAAAUUUAAAAGGGUGGACUGUUAAGAAAUAUAAGCGUACAGAAACAAAUGGAAGAUAUAGAGUUGACAAGACUUUUCGACAUCCAAAGUCAAAAAAGUGGCUGAGGUCACUCUUCAAAGUAAGAGAGUUCAUACUGGAUAGUUCGCAUAUAGGAAAAGCAUCAGAUAAUGGUGAAGGAGGCUCACAGAUUGAAAAGGUAAACUUGGUUAUCAAGGAGCUCGUUGAGGAAAAUGAUGAAGAAGAAGAAAAGUUGAAUAGAAUUAUUGCGGGGCCGUCGGCU
Molecule: long non-coding RNA, 1784 nt
Organism: Helianthus annuus (common sunflower)
Lineage: Eukaryota; Viridiplantae; Streptophyta; Magnoliopsida; Asterales; Asteraceae
Exons: 9
Source: RefSeq, a predicted model, not a curated record